UCUGGUUUCAGCCUGGAUGACCCCAAUACUUUUGGCAACAGGAUCCACCGCAUGCUGAAAUUAGGUCUCAGCAUCGAUGAGGAUGAAAAGGUUGAAGACACUGACAUGCCUACGCUUGAGGAUGCUGCUGAUGCCGAAGAGAGUAAGAUGGAGGAAGUGGACUAAUCUGGAUUAAGCUUUGCUUUCUGUAUUCUGCUGCUUCUCUUGCAAUUUUUUGGUGUGCUUUUCAGAUAUGCACUAACUAUGUAGAUGGCCUUCAUCGCCUUUUGCCAAAGAGAUCUUUACAAGUUUUGUUUAUGCAUGCAUGGAUAACUCAUGUUGUAUGUUAACAAGUCAUAUGGUUUGAAUGUCGAUUUAGCAUGGUUGAUAUUUCCUUUUUAUAGCCGUGUCUUGUGGCACGAAGCUGCAUGAAAACAGAAUCAUGUCUAAGUUUGUCUUGAUAGUAAAUGCCAUGUUCCAGAGUAAGAUUUUGCUUUCAUUCAUUCGAGUUCGAUCGAUCAUGGAGCAUUUGGUUAUCGAAGUUCUAGAUGUUUUGCUUUAAUCAUUAGCUACGCUAUGGAAGUCAUAUGUGAAUUGUGAUGAUAUAAAUGAGAAGCUGCUGAAGAAUGACUGCCAAAUUCAACUUUACGGACAAAAGAGACAGACAUACUGAUAAUAGAUUCGGAGGAACAGAAUCUAUACUAUGUGAACAUACUGACUACGGGUGUCUUCGUUUUGUCACCCAUUGUUCUUAUUGAAGCAGAAAACAAAGAGCAGGUGGUUGCGUGGUGAAUCAAUCAGCUGCAAGCCUGCGGCACAAAUCCAAUCCUCUCGUUUCCUAGAUCAUAGACCACUUCAAACGUUUGCUGCUGCACGUUGCCAAUGAUUCCGAAGCUACCGCCCUGAUAUCCAGCAAAAGCCAAGCAGCCAUGCCUGAGGAUCCCAGAUGUGUCGAGAUCCAGUGUGACUCCAUCGAAGUGCAGCGCUACUUUGGGGACUGAUAUGGUCUCGUAGCCGCUGAAGUCAUAACAGGUAUCGAGUACUCGCGUAGGAGGCGCAGCAGGGUACUGGGACAUGUAGCUCCGGAACGCAGACCUCAGGGCUCCGUAGGCCGACGCCGGGAGGCGAGUGAUGGUAGUGCCGGAGUCGAUGAUCGUGCCACGGGACGAGAAAACCGAUGGCGAAAUGGCCAGUUGCUGCCCACCGACGCUGAUUCCGAUCAGGUCAACGAAGUAAAAGCUUGGAUGAUUGGAGCUGGUCUGCAUUCGAGUGUAAACGGUGUUGGAGGCAUCACCAGGUUCGCCCAGUUUCAGGAACCCGGUGGAGCUGGGAGUCGAAGGAAGGCAGUAGGAGAAGACCGAGUGGUAAACUUGCGACGUUUGGGACACCAGAGAGCGCUUGCCGCGGCCGAGACCCACGAGCCCUGCGGUGUCUUGGAACAGCCCUUCGUUGUCGGUGCCGCACCCGAAGAGGAAGUCCUCGAUCACGUCGUUUGGCGACAGCGUCAGUCUGUCGUAGCUGUAGACUCCUGAAGUGGUCGACCCAUCGCCGUAGGUGAUGCCAUAAGCGCAAGAGCUGGAGCAGCUGCUUCGGAGCUGACUGCAGUCCUGCGAGUUGCAAGGGAUCGCGGUGUAGGAGGAUGAUUGGGAUGGGUCAAAGAUCGGCUCCUGCUGCGAGUAGCACGCGGAGCAUGGUUUGCAUUGGAUCCAACUCAGGUCGCUCCCGGUGUCCAUCGUCACAGUCUGCUCUCGGCUGGGGGUGCCAUAGCCGACUGUGAUCACGUACUCCCCUCCUCCGUACUCCGCGGGGAUGCUUGCCUUGGAAUCAUCGACCUGUGGCUUGGCGGAAGACUUCAAGGCACUUCGCCGGAGAUAGUUGACUCUAAGUUGGUCUUUCAGAAGAAUCUCUUCUAGCGAUAGCAGUUUCUUGUCGUCGAAGGGGGAGCAGGGUCCAUGCCGAUGCACCAACGGGAAGGCGGUGAAGUUAGAUCCUGAGAAAGGCGAAACUAUCUUUUAAGGAAACUGUAUCAAAUGGUUUCAGCAAUUCAUGGGUAGCGGAGUAUGAGAUCUGCAGCCCAAAGAAAAGAUUGAUGCAAGAGAGCAACUGAGGUAUGACUGACCCUUGGACGAGGAGCAGACAACUUCGGGACUAGAAUUAUGAUUUCGAACCACGUGGUAGCUCUGAGCGUCUUCUCCGUUAGCAAGGGAAGAACAGUGACUCAGGAACAGAACAGAAGAGCAGAUUAAGAGAGCAGCCGAAGCCAUUUGCUGGGAAGAGACAAGCCCUGGGCGAAGGAUUGCAAUGGCAAUGCAUCCAAUUUAUAGAGACUUCAAAACCACUUUCUUUGUUCCACCAGAUUGGCCUCUGAUUUGAGUCAAGUAUGUCGACUAGUCGUUGACUUCAUAUUGACUGGCAUCGUCAAGUUCUUCCACACAAUCACGGAGCAAUUUAGGCUUAGUUUCGCAUUCCCACUGCAAAAUCCACGAAAUAAUUUGGUUUACGUCACAACGAUGAGAUCUAAAGGAAGACUUCGAACAGUUCAAAGUCGAAUAAUUAGAGCCACAACUCGAGUGCAAGACCGGAGAGAAGACUUUCAACAGUUCAACAUCUUGGUGUGAUUUCUUCACCGACCAAUCCUGACCGGCUCAUAAAUCGUCAACUAAUAACAACAACAACUAAAUGCUUCCUUAUGGCUGUUCUACGAGUCACCCAGGCGAGUGGAUCGGGAGCUAUUCGAGAGGGAAUUACACGGUAUACUUCCAUGUCCGCACGAACCAAAGUGCGCAAGAACAUGGACUCGUACUUCUGAAACCUGCAAUGAUAGAUCGAUAGCUCCGAUACUGUAUGUGAUGAACGGAUUGCACUAUGAGAAUAACUUCAGCUGGUCUGGUGUUGAAUCAAUGGUUGACAGCAGCAGAGGCUAAUCAAAAGAAGAAGACGAAGAGGAGGUACAGGCAGGGUAGGUGGCCGUGAAAGAGACACACUCCCAAAUGAUUGCGAAGGACAAGCUACUCCAAGUGACAUUAAAGAACUCGGCAACCAUGGCGUUUUCCAAUUAAUCAUGGACCAAUUUAGCUUUAUUUGGAGAGUAAAAUAGGAUGGAAAGUUAUCAGACUUGUAGAUCUUUAUGCAGACUAGAUGAGUUUAUUAUUAGUAACAUAUAUUUUCUACUCAUAUUAAGAUCUAUCAAAGUUGCAGAUGAUGUGAUUUAUAAGGAAAACAAUAUCACAACAGUUAUCCCUUUUAUUAAAAUUAUCACAAGUACAAGUUUGAAUUAUGAAUUAGACAUGAAUUUGCUAUUAGAUUUAAGCUUCCCAUACAUUUUCUGUUAUUUUUUUUUUAUCAAAUAUACUUUUCCUAUGAUUAAGAAUAAUCUACAGUAAAUUAAAUUAAAUGUGCCUCGAACAUCUAAUUAUAGAAUUAUAGCACGUCAGUCACAUCCCCUAGCUUUUCUCCAUCGUCUUCCUCCUUUCGAUGUGAUGACUAAAUAGGCAAUCGUUCAUUACACAAUAAAUUGUGGGUUGGAUUCGUCGUGGAAGGACCCUCGUGAUUUUUUAUUAUAUACGAAGAAAAAUACUGUUAGAUUAAUUAAUCUGAGCUCUAACUUAUACUUCCAAAACAUAAUUCCAAACACAUAAUUAACGAAGAAAAGAGACACACGUACAGAAGAAAAGGGAGGUGGAUGCUGAAAUAGAACGAUAGACAAUUCUGGUGAAGGUAAUAGAGGUUGACUGCCAGCUGCAGGUGCAUGCUAUAUAUCCUUAUUCCUCAUGCUAUUGAUUUAUUUAUAUUUAUAUAUAUGCAUGAGGUGAUACUGAUCAGCUGCAAGCGUGCGGCGCGAAUCCAAUUCUCUCAUUUCCUACAUCGUAGACUACUUCAAAUGUUCGCUGCUGCACAUUGCCAAUGAUCCCCAAGCGAUCAACUUGCUUACCAGAAAAUGCCAAGCAGUCAUGCCUGAGGAUCCCAGAUACGUUGAGAUCCAGUGUGACUCCAUCGAAGUGCAGCGCUACUUUGGGGACUGUUAUGGUCUUGUAGCCACUGAAGUCAUAACAGGUAUCAAGCAGUCCGUUAGUAGGCUUAAGAGGGUACGCCGACAUGUGCUCCCGGAACGCCGACCUCAGGGCCUCGUAGGCCGACGGCGGGAGGCGAGUGAUCGUAGUGCCGGAGUCCAAUAUCGUGCCACCGGACCUAAAAACCGAUGGCGAAAUGGCGAGCUGCUCCCCGGCCACGCUGAUUCCGAUCAGGUCAACGAAGUAAAAGCUUGGAUACUUGGAGCUGGUCUGCAUUCGAGUGUAAACGGUGUUGGAGGCGUCACUAGGUUCGCCCAGUUUUAGGAACCCCAUGUUGCUGGAAGUCGAAGGAAGGCAGUAGGAGAAGACCGAGUGGUAAAGUUGCGACGUCUGAGACACAAGCGACUGCUUGCCACGGCCGAGACCCACGAGCCCUGCGGCGUCGUGGAACAGCCCUUCGUUGUCGGUGCCGCACCCGAAGAGGAAGUGCUCGAUCACGUCGUUUGGCGACAGCGUCAGUCUGUCGUAGCUGUAGACUCCUGAACUGUUCGACCCAUCGCCGUAGGGGAUGAAAUAAGCGCAAGAGCUGGAGCAGCUGCCUCGGGGCUGACUGCAUUCCGACGAGUUGCAAGGGAUCGCGGCGUAGGAGGAUGAUUGGGAUGGGUCAAAGAUCGGCUCCUGCUGCGAGUAGCAUUUGUUGCAUGGUUUGCAUUGGAUCCAACUCAGGUCGCUCCCGGUGUCCAUCGUCACAGUCUGCUCUCGGCUGGGGGUGCCAUAGCCGACGGUGAUCACGUACUCCCCUCCUCCGAACUCCGCGGGGAUGCUUGCCAAGGAAUCAUUGAGCUGUGACUUCACGACACCCUUUAGGAGAUAAUUUACUCGAAGUUGGUCUUUAAGAAGGAUUUGUUCAGGUGAUGGCAGUUCCUUUGUCUCGAAGGGGGAGCAGGGUCCAUAUCGACUGACCAACCGUAUAGAGGUAACGUUGGAUCCUGAGAACCAUGCAUGCAUGCAUGGAAGUAUAUAUCACCACCAAUAGUCAGUAUUAAUUUUUUGUCUUUUAAGUAAUUUUACGUCAAACAAGUGCAGCAAUUUAUAAGUACAACUUCCAUCUGCUUGCUCGGUAACAUCGUGCUUCCAAUUUACAGCUUAAAGAGAUAGAGAAGGAAGUCUUAGUUAAAACUACAGAUGAUACUUUAUAACAGCAGCGCAAAUAAAACACCAAAAGUAAGAGGCAGCCGAUGUAUGAUUAACCUUUGAGCGGGGAGCAGACUGCUCCGGGAUUCAAAGAACGUCUUUGAACCUUAUGGUAGCUCUGUACUUCUCCAUUGGCAAGGUGAGAACGGUAGCUUAGGAGCAGAAACAGAACACAAGAGCUGGUUAGGAGGGCAGCUGAAGCCAUUAGUUAGCUGGGGAGAUACAAGUCUUGUGCGUAGGAGCUCUGGCUAUGCAUCCAAUUUAUAGAGAACCUUCAAUGCUACCUUCUCUCCUUGAAUCUUCAAAGCGAUGCUUUUGGUUUGGCCUCUGAUUACCACAUGCGAAAUUGAUUUAGAAGGCUGUGGACUAGUCGUUGACGUAGGACCCACUGGCUUAGUCAAGGUCAGAUUGUCCGAUCUUCGCGGAGUCACAUAAAUUUUAUCUCGUAUCCCCGUCGACGUGUGGAAGAUCCAUGGAAAUGAUAAGAUCUCCAGUCAGCUACCAGUCCGAAGCGAUGACUUGCAACGAUCCAAGGUCUUCACGUGGUGAUUUCUUCGGUUACCAGGUCCGAUGUAUCUGCCAGUAAUUAAUUCGUGGACUCAUGGCAUCCGACUGGAGUUAAUUGACAGCAAUCAUAUGGCAUGAUUCGACGUCCACAGGAUCAUUUUCCACUGUGGCUCAUGCGGAACCAGAUUGCAAAGAACAUGUCAUACCUCAGAGCUACUUCGGUCCUCCAACUACUAUGAGAAGAACUUUAGCUGGUUCACUGAUAUGAUAAGUUCUAGGCGCUGAAACAGUUGUGGGCUUAAGGAACCGACACAGGCGAUGUGAUAUUGCUGCACUUCUCUUGUUGGCCAUGUCGGAGGGUAAGGAAAAGAAGAAGAUGAGGAGGAGGAGGAGGAGGAGGAAGCAGGGUAAGACAGGGACGGCGAGGUGGCGAUUUACGAGACAGUCAAGAACUGGAUGAUUGCACCGGACAAAGUACGUCUAUAUCAUAACAGCUAAGAAACAAUGACAUGCGUUCUCGGAUUAAUUAUGGACCAUAUUAUUGAGCAAUAUCUUCUUUUGUUUCGUUUAUCAUCUUUUGCGCUUGACUAUAUCUGUGCAUUACUGAUAGCAAAUGGCCGAAAGCUGCCUGUAUUUAUAUUUCUUUCUUUUUUCGCGUUAGAUAAGGCUCAGGUACAGAAGCUAUGAAGACAAAGGGAAGGAAAAGACUGGUCACAACAAUUCGGUAAUGUAAUGUUUUUGAUAAGAAUACAAGCGAAUAGAUAUGUGUUACGUAUCGGAUUAAGCGUAUCAAAUCGAAUGAUAGAAAUCAAUAAUUUAGUUCAAACCAGCAUCAGACUGUAUAAAAAAAAAAAAGUAAUUUUUUUGAAAAAAAUUCUUCUUUUUUUUUCUGAAAAGGGAUCUCUGUUUUACUUUUUCACAAAAUGAGACUCCCUAAUUCAAAUAAUACUCAAAAUACUCACCGUCAUUGCUAAUGGUAUUUUUCUCAUCAAAUUUGUUUUGUCUAUUUUUUUAUUAGUUUCGAAUCAUUAUAGUGUUUUUAUUUGGCUCAUUUAUAAUAUUUUUCAAUAGCAUUACGGUAUUGUGAUGGUGGCAAUAAUUUUUACCCAUAUUUAGAUGAUGUUGUUAUUCAUAAAUUAUUAUUAUAGUACCUAUUUGAAUUCUAAUAUGAUAUAUUAAAUAAUUUUUAGUAUAUUUUGAUUUUAUUUGACUUGCUUAUAGUAUUUUUUUUACAACAUUAUAGGUUUUAUUAUGAUAUUAAGGAUAUUAUAAAGCUAUUGAAAAAUAUUGUAAGUAACUUCGUAUUAUGUCUCUUUGCUUAUCGUUGCUCAUAGAUUAUUACACUACCAAAUCAUGGAUGCUGAACACAUGCAUAUUUGGAGGUUUUCGAUACGCUGACGAACGAGAAAGAGCAAGGAAGAGGAGGAGGUGGUGGAGGCAACGGCGGCAGGAAAAGCAAGCAAGAGAAGCCAUUACGCUUGCAGAACUCGGUGAUCUGAGCUUGGAACGAGUGAAGGGAGUAGCUCUAAAUAGCUGUGCCUCUGCGCGUUCAAGUUUCAACGGGUGGUACAUCGCUUUCUCCCACUUGUCUUCCUCCUGUGGCCACUCGAGUCCUCUGUGGCGAUUACGUCAUGCGUCAUUGCGCAACAAAUAACGGGUUGGGUCAAGGAAGAGACCCUCGUGAUUCUUUAUGAGAUCCAAUCCACUCACGAGCAGAAAAGGAGGUGUGAUCACAUGCUGGAAGGCACUAAGAAUUAAGCCCGUAUAAUUGACUCCUGACUUGUUGUCAGACACUCUCGAGUCCCGUGGGAAGACCAUCCAAGAAGAGGCCUCAGCUUUGAAUUGGAAUCUUCUUUCUAACUUAGGCCGUGAAGCAAUGGCGACCAACCUUUGAGUUAUUCCAUAGACUAACAACUUUGUGGCUAUUUGUUUAGUAUUGGAUUAAUGGACUGAACUCAAUCGUUCCUCGCCCAAAAGAACCAUUGGCUAAUGUUACUUGAUAUGAAGGAUCCAAAGCAACCACCAAGAAAAGAAUGUCGAAAGAAGAACCACAAAGCAUUUGAGAACAAUCAUGAUCUCAAGGUGGCCUAUCACUUUCUUCUUCCUUCUUUCCUGCUAUUUCUUCUGAUAUAAUCAUGUGGAAAGACAUAAUAUAAUCCAUCUCUAAGCAGUGUGGCUCCCUGUGGAAAGACAUAAUCUAAUCCAUCUCUAAGCAGUGUGGCUCCCUGCGACAGGCUCUCUUACGUUCAUGCGUUUCUGGCUGACAUAAGUCUACGGAGACAUGAUGUUGCAGAGGUUGCAUAAUCCACCGCACCUCUCCAACAUUUCACAUGGCAAGCCCCGUUCCGUUUGUCAUGUCCUUGCUAAGCUUUUGGAAUGUUGCAGAAAACGAGCCAUGGGGUUCGUGCAAUGCUUCUCAAAUUGGAACAGUGGUGAGAAAUCUGCGGUGGCUCAGUCACUGUCGGUCGAUAGACCAUGAAAUGUUUGAAGGACUCGUAAUUCUUCCUGCAUGUGUUUAAUUUCUCCUCGGGAUAAGCCAAGCACUUGAAAAACCAUCUCCAAUGCAUAAGCUAGAUUAAGCAUCUCAUGUGGAGAUCAGGAUACCUGCAGUUUAAGGAGUGCUAAUAUCACAGACUAUACAAAUCACCCAGCUUGUGUACUAGACAUUGUCUUUCUUCUCCGAUGAGUGGUCAGACUUCCACUUCAAGUGUUGGAAGAUGUAGCCAGGGCACUUGCAAAUAACAAGUCGGGUGGUUCUUGAUGUGGAUGGUUGGAGAUGGCAUUCUCGAGGGUUGUCGAAGGAUGCAAUUUGCAUUUCGACAUGGAACAGUGAAGAUAAUGUGCUUCCUCUGGUUCAGUGGUGCCAGUGCCUCAGCUACUAGCUUUGUUGCUUGCUCAUGCCAAGAUAAGUGGGAGGAGUAGAAAAUUAGAACCAUUCAACAAAGGAGAUGAUUCUUGCAACACCACAUUUGAAGCAUGGUCAUCAUGCAUCAACCUGUGUAGUAGGUGGUGUUCUAACAUUUGCACCCCAAAAAGAAGGGUUUGACCAAUGUGCAUUGGCUGUUGCUUCAACCUCUGUUCAGAAGCAGAAAGUGUUGUGCUAGCCAUCAUUAUUAAAGAUUAUGGAUGGUAGCAUCAACCCUUUUUUGUCAGUUACAGAGAUGACUGAAUCACUAAUGCUCAGAGACUCCAGCAUGGCUGGCCAUAUGUCCAGCAAGAAAACUAUGGAGAUCAACCCAGAGAAUCCUAUCAUGGAGGAGUUGAGGAAGCGAGCAGAUGCUGACAAGAAUGACAAAUCAGUUAAGGACCUGACACUUCUGCUGUUUGAGACUGCUCUCCUCACCUCUGGUUUCUGCUUGAAUGACCCCAAUACUAUUGGCAACAGGAUCCACCGAAUGCUGAAAUUAGGUCUCAGCAUCGAUGAGGAUGAAAAGGUUGAAGACACUGACAUGCCUACGCUUGAGGAUGCUGCUGAUGCCGAAGAGAGUAAGAUGGAGGAAAUGGACUAAUCUGGAUCAAGUUGGCUUUCUGUAUUCUGCUGCUUCUCUUGCAAUUUUUUGGUGUGCUUUUCAUAUAUGCACUAACUAUGUAGACGGCCUUCAUCACCUUUUGCCAAAGAGAUCUUUAUAACUGUUGUCUAUGCAUGCAUGGAUAAUUCAUGUUCUAUGUUAACAAGUCUAUGGUUUGAAUGUCGAUUUAGCAUGGUUGACAUUUCAUUUUUAUAGUCCUGUCUUGUGGCAAGAAGCUGCAUGAAAACAGAAUCAUGUCUAAGUUUGUCUUGAUAGUAAAUGCCAUGUUCCAGAGUAAGAUUUUGCUUUCAUUAAUUCGAGUUCGAUCGAUCAUGGAGCAUUUGGUUAUCGGAGUUCUAGAUGUUUUG
This 9567-nucleotide long non-coding RNA is filed under the name Musa acuminata (dwarf banana). RNAcentral describes it as "long non-coding RNA (MACU_LNC001078)". Lineage: Eukaryota; Viridiplantae; Streptophyta; Magnoliopsida; Zingiberales; Musaceae. The record is from RNAcentral.